CCGGGCCCGCUGAGGAUGGACGCGGCUCGUUGAGGCACAGCGGGCCGGGCACGGGCUGUGCCGUUCGUGGCUGUGCUGCAGGGGAGGGUGUCACCCCCAGAGCCGCCGGCAGCCCCUCAGAGCACCCCGCUCCUCUGCCAGAUCCACCGCGUGUGGGCCGGCAGAGGUGCGGCUCAUCUGCCGCUGGGGACACCAAAGAGGCCUGGGGCUGACAGCACCUGCCCUGGGGACACCAAAGAGGUCUGGGGCUGACAGCACCUGCCCUGGGGACACCGCCUGACGGGGGUCUGAGAGGGUACACUGUGUGUGUCCUGUUUGUGAGCAGGCCUUUGGCAUUGUCUCCACAACUAGCAGUGAUGAGCACCUGAUAAUCCUGUAUUCUCCAAGCUGAGCUUUUGUGUGAAAGAACAUGAGGCCAUAUAGCGCCUGAGAAGAAGAAAGCAAAUUAUUGGAAAAGUGUUAUAAGAUGGGUGCACUAAGGCUGCUGCAAAAUGGAUGAAGCAAAAACAGGGAGAGAGAUUGAGGGGAUCACACAAGUGAGUGUGAGAUCAGGAUAUUCAGGAAGUCUGAAGGAGGGAGGAUCUGGCAUGAUAAUGACUGAAAUAUUGAUUAAAGUCCAGUGUCUUCAUCAAAACCUGGAGCUCCUGACUUGGGUAGGAGAAGCACAACUGCAUGAAAAAGGAGAAUUGCUCAUAAGGCCCAAUGUCUUUAUCAAAACCUGGAGCUCCUGACUUGGGUGGGAGAAGCACAACUGCAUGAAAAAGGAGAAUUGCUCAUAAUUCAGGCACAGCUUUAGCACCUCUGGGGAAGUAAUGGCUGUUUUGUUUACAAUGGGCAGCCUGGAUCCAGUUCUUCCUUCCCAAAGUGCAUUUGUGCUGCAGAGAAUAUGUAGGGAUUGUGAAUGUACUCCUAAGUAGCAUUCCACAGUUGAACUAAUUGCCAGGCCAAGCGAGGGACCACAGUAAAUGGGUGAAUAAUUUGAUCCAAGAUGGAUUUGUACUCUACCAACACAGCCUGAAAUCUUCUAAUGCUUUUGGAUUUGACUGUGAGCUGUUCAUUGUUGUUUGAGCCUGUUCUUUUCUAUUACCAUAUUUUCUCUGGAUAUCAUUUCUGUGUACCUUAUCUUUGUAUAAAAGGCCACAUCUUUACCAUAUUUCCAGGGAGUAGUCAGUAGAGGCAUACAAAAUUUACUGCUGUAGACCAAAAUAUGACAGAUAAAGGUAGUGCAUUACAAAGUUCUUGCCCUCAAUCACGCAGAAGGCUCUCUAUGCUUCUGUGAGCAGUGGCACGAGUGUGGCUGCACUGUAAUGGGAGAAGGGUUAACAGCAAACCAAGACAUUUUCUGCAGCAAAAAGAGGUGGACUCUUCUCCAAGCAAUUACCUUUUAUGUAAUAAACAAUGUCAGUGGUCAAUAGAGGGAGUUUUCUUACCUAAUCCCCUUUCAUUUAGCUUAAAAUAGAAGUGCUAUUAGUUUGACUAGCAGGUUGGUGUAUCAAGCCUGGUCAUACCUGGUUGCAUGUUAAAUUUAACUGCUAGCAGAAAUGUUCCUCCAGUAGCUUUUGUCUAUGCUUUCCUUGAAUAAAAUACAAUAAUACAUGCUGGAGCUUCAGUGGUGUUAGGUGCUUUUGUCAGAUGUGUGUAUUGAUAUGCUGCAGCCUUUUGGAAUACAGAGUGCAUUGCUUUUUUAUUACAGAUUUUAUUGGCAUCAUGAAGUUGUGAGUAGCUUUUCCUGUACUUUUAGCUUGUAUUGGCUCUGAAAAUCCAGCUUAAUUACUAAUGGAUACUUUCAAAAAUCAUUUAUUUCUGGUAAAGGGUGCACAUAAUCUGUUAUCAUUAGAUAUCUGCUGGCAGUAGAUACAGCACAGCUUGUGCUUUGGCUAACCCUUGAAGGAGGGGAAGGUUUGAUAAAUGAGAAAAGCCAAAAGCUUUUGUGCUUAUAUGUGCUUAAGGUAAUGAGGAGUUUAAAGAUUACAACAGCAUAUCUGUCCUUCAAUGGAUGUGAUGUUCCUCAAGGAUGCGGUGAGAUGUGACAGAAUGGUCACACAGCUGAGUAGCCCUCAGCUCAGUUACAGGACACAGAAAAACAGAGCUUCAAGGCACCAUGUUUCCUUUGUGCUUCAUACAUCACCUGUCUGCUGUCCUUUCUAGUGGAGUGCAGCUACUGUGAUCUCUUUCCUGACCAUCAGUUUUCUU
Long non-coding RNA from Zonotrichia albicollis (white-throated sparrow), 2193 nucleotides. RefSeq lists it as uncharacterized. The record is from RefSeq and is a predicted model, not a curated record. NCBI's taxonomy places the organism in Eukaryota, Metazoa, Chordata, Aves, Passeriformes, Passerellidae.